GCUGGCGGCAGGCCUAACACAUGCAAGUCGAGCGCAGUCCUUCGGGACCGAGCGGCGGACGGGUUAGUAACGCGUGGGAACAUACCCUUUUCUACGGAAUAGCCUCGGGAAACUGAGAGUAAUACCGUAUAAGCCCUUCGGGGGAAAGAUUUAUCGGGAAAGGAUUGGCCCGCGUUAGAUUAGAUAGUUGGUGGGGUAAUGGCCUACCAAGUCUACGAUCUAUAGCUGGUUUUAGAGGAUGAUCAGCAACACUGGGACUGAGACACGGCCCAGACUCCUACGGGAGGCAGCAGUGGGGAAUCUUAGACAAUGGGCGCAAGCCUGAUCUAGCCAUGCCGCGUGUGUGAUGAAGGUCUUAGGAUCGUAAAGCACUUUCGCCAGGGAUGAUAAUGACAGUACCUGGUAAAGAAACCCCGGCUAACUCCGUGCCAGCAGCCGCGGUAAUACGGAGGGGGUUAGCGUUGUUCGGAAUUACUGGGCGUAAAGCGUACGUAGGCGGAUCAGAAAGUAGGGGGUGAAAUCCCAGGGCUCAACCCUGGAACUGCCUCCUAAACUCCUGGUCUUGAGUUCGAGAGAGGUGAGUGGAAUUCCAAGUGUAGAGGUGAAAUUCGUAGAUAUUUGGAGGAACACCAGUGGCGAAGGCGGCUCACUGGCUCGAUACUGACGCUGAGGUACGAAAGUGUGGGGAGCAAACAGGAUUAGAUACCCUGGUAGUCCACACCGUAAACGAUGAAUGCCAGUCGUCGGGCAGUAUACUGUUCGGUGACACACCUAACGGAUUAAGCAUCCGC
This 791-nucleotide ribosomal RNA is filed under the name uncultured Sulfitobacter sp. Its description in RNAcentral is "bacterial SSU rRNA". It matches the Rfam family "Bacterial small subunit ribosomal RNA", at positions 35 to 872 of the family's 1533-position model. The record is from RNAcentral. Lineage: Bacteria; Pseudomonadati; Pseudomonadota; Alphaproteobacteria; Rhodobacterales; Roseobacteraceae.